AGGUUGUGUUCCGCGACUAUAAACAAGUAUGAGCACUGGAAUUGCUAGUCCGCCACGCUGCAGGCAACAUUGCCAAAUUGCGGGAACAUCCUAAAGACUCUGACACCAAGCGUGCCUGGAAACAGGUACGUGGCCGAGCUUAUUGCCCUGGGUAUGGUAACAGUUCAGAGUAUGACAUCCUCCGGGGUGGAAAUGGACAAUCCGCAGCCAAGUCCUACCGCUCGUCAGAGCCACGGAUGCUGUUCACAGGCCAAAUGGUAAUGGGUGAGACGUCACGGUCUUGCUUAAGAUAUGGUCGGGCUCUCAAGGAAACUUGAGGGGUGAUUCAUUGCACAAUGCACCCUUAGAAAACCGUUCCGUAGGUGAACCUGCGGAAGGAUCAUUA
This 385-nucleotide non-coding RNA is filed under the name Fumagopsis stellae. RNAcentral's name for it is "partial 18S ribosomal RNA". The stretch from base 8 to 319 matches the Rfam family "Group I catalytic intron". Rfam says of the family: Group I catalytic introns are large self-splicing ribozymes. They catalyse their own excision from mRNA, tRNA and rRNA precursors in a wide range of organisms. Lineage: Eukaryota; Fungi; Ascomycota; Eurotiomycetes; Chaetothyriales; Chaetothyriaceae. The record is from RNAcentral.